AAGUCGUAACAAGGUUUCCGUAGGUGAACCUGCGGAAGGAUCAUUAACAGUGCUCGUAGUGCUCCAAUGUGCGUUUGUGAGGACCAGGGCGUCGCUCAGGUACAUGCUCAAUGUUGCGAAAUGGGAAUAGGCUUUGAUGUCUUACUCUUUAGGGAGCAACGACUGAUCUUUCGAAGCCAUCUCGCGCACUGAUAUCAUGCUCCUGUUUGGAACUACUACCUCUCGAGCGCACGUUCAUUUUACCCCACCUGUCCUUUUGAACACUGAAUAGUAAAGCUUAGUUGAAAAACUUGCAAAACUUUUAGCAAUGGAUCUCUAGGCUCUU
Molecule: unclassified non-coding RNA, 325 nt
Filed under: fungal sp.
Lineage: Eukaryota; Fungi
Description: partial internal transcribed spacer region
Rfam family: Eukaryotic small subunit ribosomal RNA (bases 1-46)
Source: RNAcentral